This 75-nucleotide transfer RNA is filed under the name Candidatus Woesearchaeota archaeon. RNAcentral describes it as "tRNA-Met". It matches the Rfam family "tRNA". Rfam says of the family: Transfer RNA (tRNA) molecules are approximately 80 nucleotides in length. Lineage: Archaea; Nanobdellati; Candidatus Woesearchaeota. The record is from RNAcentral.
GCCGGCGUAGUUUAGCCUGGUUAGAGCGCCAGACUCAUAAUCUGGAAGUCGGGGGUUCAAUUCCCCCCGCCGGCA